This 240-nucleotide ribosomal RNA is filed under the name uncultured bacterium. Its description in RNAcentral is "partial 16S ribosomal RNA". It matches the Rfam family "Bacterial small subunit ribosomal RNA", at positions 117 to 353 of the family's 1533-position model. The record is from RNAcentral.
GUGGGUAACCUGCCUUAUAGUGGGGGAUAGCCUUUCGAAAGGAAGAUUAAUACCGCAUAAGACUGUAGUAUCGCAUGAUAUAGCAAUUAAAGGAGCAAUCCGCUAUAAGAUGGACCCGCGUCGCAUUAGCUAGUUGGUGAGGUGAUGGCUCACCAAGGCGACGAUGCGUAGCCGACCUGAGAGGGUGAUCGGCCACAUUGGGACUGAGACACGGCCCAGACUCCUACGGGAGGCAGCAUG